CUUUAGCCUUGAUAGAAACGGUUACCCCACAGCAGGAGCAAGAGUAGGUCAGGCUUAGGUAGGGAGCGCGCCGGAGCGAAGAGUAUGAGUGGAUAGCAAGAAUAAGC
Molecule: unclassified non-coding RNA, 107 nt
Filed under: Chryseobacterium profundimaris
Lineage: Bacteria; Pseudomonadati; Bacteroidota; Flavobacteriia; Flavobacteriales; Weeksellaceae
Description: Flavo-1 RNA
Source: RNAcentral